AUAACAAUGGCUUUAGUGGCGGACUGGUGAGUAACGCGUGAGCAACCUGCCUACUAGAGGGGAAUAACAGUGAGAAAUCAUUGCUAAUACCGCAUAUGCCAUGAACAUCACAUGAUGAAAGUGGGAAAAGAGUAAUCUGCUAGUAGAUGGGCUCGCGUCUGAUUAGAUAGUUGGUGGGGUAACGGCCUACCAAGUCGACGAUCAGUAGCCGGACUGAGAGGUUGAACGGCCACAUUGGGACUGAGAUACGGCCCAGACUCCUACGGGAGGCAGCAGUCGGGAAUAUUGCGCAAUGGAGGAAACUCUGACGCAGUGACGCCGCGUAUAGGAAGAAGGUUUUCGGAUUGUAAACUAUUGUCGUUAGGGAAGAUACAAGACAGUACCUAAGGAGGAAGCUCCGGCUAACUACGUGCCAGCAGCCGCGGUAAUACGUAGGGAGCAAGCGUUAUCCGGAUUUAUUGGGUGUAAAGGGUGCGUAGACGGGAAAGCAAGUUAGUUGUGAAAUCCCUCGGCUUAACUGAGGAACUGCAACUAAAACUGUUUUUCUUGAGUGUUGGAGAGGAAAGUGGAAUUCCUAGUGUA
RNAcentral lists this ribosomal RNA (582 nucleotides) under uncultured bacterium. Its description in RNAcentral is "bacterial SSU rRNA". It matches the Rfam family "Bacterial small subunit ribosomal RNA", at positions 79 to 677 of the family's 1533-position model. The record is from RNAcentral.